UACGGGGGGAGCAAGCGUUGUUCGGAUUUACUGGGCGUAAAGGGCGCGUAGGCGGUCGUGACAAGUCACUUGUGAAAUCUCCGGGCUUAACUCGGAACGGUCAAGUGAUACUGUCGGACUAGAGUACAGAAGGGGCAACUGGAAUUCUCGGUGUAGCGGUGAAAUGCGUAGAGAUCGGCAGGAACACCCAGGGGGAAACCAGUCGACUGGGCAUCUACUGACGCUGAGGUGCGAGAGCGUGGGGAGCGAACCGG
RNAcentral lists this ribosomal RNA (254 nucleotides) under uncultured bacterium. RNAcentral describes it as "partial 16S ribosomal RNA". It matches the Rfam family "Bacterial small subunit ribosomal RNA", at positions 524 to 776 of the family's 1533-position model. The record is from RNAcentral.